This is an RNA transcript of Triticum dicoccoides, 5856 nucleotides long. RefSeq lists it as uncharacterized. The transcript is spliced from 5 exons. The record is from RefSeq and is a predicted model, not a curated record. NCBI's taxonomy places the organism in Eukaryota, Viridiplantae, Streptophyta, Magnoliopsida, Poales, Poaceae.
GCGGCGGCGGCGAGAUGGCCCUCCGCCCCGGCCCUCCGCAGGCGGCGGCGCCGCUGGAAGACGAGGACGUCCUGGGCGAGAUCCUCGUCCGCCUCCCCCCGCUGCCCUCCUCGCUCGUCCGCGCCGCCGCCGUCUCCAGGCUCUGGGGGCGCCUCGCCGCGGACCGCGCCUUCCUCCGCCGCUUCCGCACCCACCACCGGAGGCCCCCCGUCCUCGGCGUCUUCGAGGAGCGCGACGGGGAGCUGGUGUUCACCCCGCUCCUCGACGCCCCGGACCGGAUCCCCCGCGAGCGCUUCUCCAUGCGGUUCUGGCACGUGCUCGGUUGCUGGACCUUGCUCGGGUACCGCCACGGCCGCGUCCUCAUGGUCAACCAGGAUCUGGCCCUGCUCCUCGUUUUCGCCCCUCUCGUCGGCGGCCGCCGCGGCCUCCGCGCCGUGGUGAUUCCUCCGGAUUUCGUCGACGGCGAGUACGCCGUCGCCAACGGAGCGGUGGUCUGCGCUGCCGGCGGCGAGCAGGGCCACGUGCACGGAGACUGCCACUCGGGCCCCUUCAAGGUGGUUCUGGUGGCCACCAGAGUGAGACACCCGGUCCUAGCCCGGGUCUACUCCUCGGACACCGGUGAGUGGGGAGAUCUUGUCGUAAUGGCGGAACCAUGUGUUGUUAGCAGCUUCCCCUCCACCCUCGUCGGCAAUGCUCUUUACUGGUGGCUAAAAAAGUGUCAGCACGAGGAUGGCAUACUCAAGUUCGAUUUGGAUAGCCAGACACUAUCUGUGGUCAGGAGGCCUAUUUUUGAUCGCAUUCCCAGUUGCAGCAUCCGGAUCAUCAGGGGAGAGCAUGGCGGUGUUGGCCUCGCUGUAUUUUCGUACCCGAGGUUCCAAAUCUGGGAACGCAUGGUCAAUAGUCAUGGUACUGCCAUAUGGGUGCUGCGAAAGACGGCUCGCAUGCAUAGUAUGCUUCAGUAUGCUAUGCUGACUAUAGUAGGGUACUCUGAGGAUGGGGAUGCGCUUCUUCUAACAGUGUCCUUCGGUGGGGGUGUGGCCGCCUACAGCUUCAUGCUUCAACUUGAGUCAAUGGAGUGGACGAAUCUUAAUCAAACAUUUUUGGAGUAUUCCUACCAUCCGUUCGCAUACUUGUAUACUGCAGGUACUGUCAGAGCGUCAAGUACCGCUCCAGCCAUUGAGCCACCACAGCAGCGAAGUACAAUUCCAGCCAUUGUGCCGCCACAGCAGUGAAGUACUGGUCCAGCCAUUCCACAGCUGCGGGGUGGUCGCAUGAUUUAGUGAUCAGUAGGAUUUGCAUCUGCAGCAGAGGCAUAUGUUGUUUAUAGGGUUUUUAAUUUCGUCUUGUAUAUGAAGACCAUAGAAAGUGUAAAAUGAAAAUUUGGAUUUGGUCUCUUAACAGCACUUGGUUGUACGAGUUGAAUCAUAGAACAGGAGGCAGGUAAGUACAGGGGACAGGUAAGCAUUGUUAUUAUGAUCUGUUUGUAGCUUCCUAAAAAUGAGUGUACUGUCAUGGUCAUUUGACACAAUGAAGAAAAAACAAAUGAGUGUAGGCUGAUAGAAGUCGUAAUUGUGAGUUGGCACCUUGCUUUCAACAAAAGUUCAUCUCAUUGCUCCCUAUUUGUACGACAGCAAUACAUAUCAGUAAAAUAAAAGGAUGUUUAUUAGCCACUUUUAGACGUGGUGGCAUAAUAUCAGUAAAAACUAAAGAAUGCUACUAUUCAUCAGUUUUCCUUUUGCGAAUAUUUGCGUUGCCUUUUUUGGACCAUAACUUUUUGUUCUUUUUCAGAUGCAGUGUGCUACUACAAAAUAUUUACUUGAUCCUUGAUUGACAUACUUUUGUGAACUGAGAUCUUGCGCUCUGCUUUUACCAAUCAGCCUGUUUGCUUCUUUUCUUACAUGUACUUUAAUUAUACAUUUCUGGAUUUGGUGCUUUGAUUUGCUGCAGUUUCCUUGAUUUAGUAGAUGCAUGAUGUGCAUCAAUACACUGGACUUCAUGAUCGGUUUUCCAUCUCACAUCAAUAGUUUAGGCCACUAUUUGUUUAUCCAUGCAUUUUAGGUAAACAUUGGUGUAGACUUGGUUGUUUUUUUUUUGGUUGUUUGUGGUAUCCAUUUUCCCCUACACUAGGUAAUAGCCCGUGCGUUGCAACUUGCAACGGAGGCAUACAAAAUGUACCACUAAAAUUUUAGUUAGUUUUUUACAUAACAACCAUGAUUUACCUUUAUUGUUAAUGUGAACCUUGAUUUACCAUCUAUUUAUUGUUAAUGUGUCUGCAUACUAACUGAUGCAAUUAGCAAGUGUUAAGUGAUAACCUAAUUCUUGAAUAUCAGUUGUGGGAAAGUGCAGCACAAAUUAAUCCUAAUUUAAUUCUUUCCCCAACCUGCUUGGUCCUACAACAGGCAAACAUUAGGUUGCUAGCAACAAAAUGAUAUGCAAGGAAUAAAUUGCAACCCCACAGAAGAGAAAAAAAGGGCUCUAUACCUUUUAUCCUCCCAAUCUGCAAAACAAAUAGAAUUGAGACAUAUCGUGCCAAUUUAAUUACUAAAGCUCAUGUCCAAUUUUGGAAGCUAAUGGCCAAGUAGUUGGCAAUUUUGUUUCUGAAGAGAAAUGCAUUGAUGCAAUUUUGUCCACUUCGGAUCAUUCCCUCUUAACAAAAUGCCAGUGAUGUUUCUCUUAAUGUAGUAUACUGACCAUUUCAGCAGCAUAAUUUCUCUAAGUGACCAUGCAGUAUUCAGUGACUUUUCUAGGUGACUAAUAUGCAGCAUGCAUGGAUGGCUGGGAGACUGGGCAGAGAGAGUUUGUCAUGAAAACUGUUUUUCGCUUUAACUUUCACUUUGUUGUGUUUCCUCUGUCCAUUCUUUCCUCAGUUAAAACUUCAUUGCCAAAAACCAGAUUACCUCCUUCCAUGAUCUGCACAAAGGCAUAAGAAUACUAAAGUGUCACCAGACUGAGAGAUGCAAAGUACCAAGUGCAUAAAAUCUGUGUCCAAAUCGUUUAGUUAUGACAAUUACAAAUUUAGUUGUUUAAUAUAUACAAUAAGAAAUUCAGUGUUCUACCAGUUACAUCAAAUUAGUAGUCAGUUUAUCCCAUGCAGUGCACAGGAAAAUGUCAAAACAAAGGAGAGGAUGAGGCCGUCUACCUUGUAGAGGAGCAAGCCCGUACCUGCUGCUGCCGGUCUUGGCGCCGCCUUCGCAUAGGUGGAGUUCGUCAAGGUCGAGAUCUGCGAGAUCCCCAGAGUGGCGCAUGUUAUGAGAGCAUCAAAAGAAUUCAGAGGAGGGGCUCUGAAUCGAACAUAGAAGAAUCAAAUCUUUUGCUUGCGGCGCCGGAUCAUGAGCCCCCGGCGCCAAUCGACCGGUGCCCCAUCGGCCUCUCUGGGUCAGUGACGUAGCAGACUGAUGCGAAGGCAGAGCCAGCGGGUGAGGAGGUCAAUGUAAGGAACCGGGGGGUGGCGGUGUCGCGCAGCGUAUUUUUGGGUAGCUCGGACAUCGAAGUGGCACCAGCGAGUCGAGGAGAGGAAGGAAGUGUUGAGGUGUGGGGUGGCGGCUGGCUGCAGCGGAUGUCCGGGAGCGGUAGGCGUGGCGGCGGAGAACAGGGAAAGGGGAUUUAGGGUUGAAGAGUGGUGCGGGGUGGAAAGAUGAGAGAGGUGGGCGAUGGAUUCUGCUGGACUUUUUUUUCCUUGCGCGGGUUCUUUUGCCAUCUAGAAAACCGAGUGGGGGAGAGGAGCGGCACUAGGCAGGAUGUGAAACGGAAGAGGCGGACGAAAGGAACGGGCAAAAAGUUUUUUGACGGGAUAGGAAACCUUACUCUUUUUUUGGUAAGUAGAGAUGGUCCGUUCUGUCCUCUAGGAAACCUUUAUUGUUGAGUUGUUCCUUUGUGCUACUGUUCCUCUUUUUGUUUUUUCCCCUUUUGGUGUCUUCCUUCCCUGUUUUGUAGUUCCAUUUUGCACUGGAUUUUGGCAGUGGCAAAGUAAUAAACUUAUCACUGGCGUGCACUCAUUUGACCUUUUGCUUUGUGCACACAAUCAUGCAUUAAUCUUUGGUUAUGUUGCUAUUAUUCAGUUUAGAGUUUUGCAGUCAGAUGCAUCUUUUGUGAAUAGCUCUUGUAGAGUUAAUCAGUGGGCUAUGGAAAAUUUACCCCUCACUCUAUAGAUUGGUUGGUUUGAGGCUUAGUACUCCCUCCAUUCCUAAAUAUAGGGUGUAUAGUUUUUGGCACGGAAAUUAAAGAAUGCACAUGGAGGAAAAAUUUCACAAGUUUUGGGCAAGACUACACCUGACUAAUUAAUAUGAGAAAAUAGAGGAGCUUGCCCUGUGUAAGGAAAUGUAAUCAAAUCCCUUAAAAAGUUAUUCAAAUGAGUGGUGCAAGGCAAUACACCUUAUAUUUUGAACUUUUUCUCAAAAAUCUAUACACCUUAUAUCAAGGAACGGAGGGAGUAUAUAUUUUCUCCCUGAAUGCUAUAUAGUAUUUAUAAAAAAAAUGCUCUCAAUAAUGUCCAUGCCUCUAAAUUUUUUUUGAAGAUUAAAUUCAGUUAGCUAAGUUUCAUUAUAUGGAUUUCUAACAGUUUAAUCUGCAGAAUGUUUUCAGACUAUCAGCUGAUUUUGCUGUAAGAUCAUGAAUCACAAGAAUCGUCACCUCUGUUUGGUUAAUCUAUCUAAUUUUGCUAUUUCUCCAUUGUUUUGUUGCUUUAAAAGCCAUGUUUGAAUUGUCUUUAUAUUUGAUUAACUGUACUAUGUACAUUAUAAUAUUAUGUACUUUGGUGAAGUACGGCCUCUAUUGUUUGCUUCUAGUAGCUCCCAAAUUGCCAUUUUUCUGAUUGCCUUUUUUGACCAACAAAGACUGAAACUCAUUUUUGCCAUUUUUCUGAUCCUGUUAUAUCUUUUUUAUGUUUAUGUCAUUUUCUUGGAUAUAAUUAAGUCAGUGCAUUUUGUUGUUUCCUUGAAACUCAUUUUUUGGGAUUUACUUGGUUUCUUACCAUGUAUCUUGUGGUACAAGCAAUAACUCUGUAUGAGUUUGCGUUGGUAUGCAGGGUUACUUGGCAUGUCAAAGAACCACAAUCCAUAACUGGCCCUGCAAGCAUCUCAGUUCUUGUAGGUUUAUGAAGGUGAGCGCCCUGUUGGCAAAAUAGGGCAUGCGAUCUUCUUAUGUCAAACCCUUGUUAAUCAAUUUGCAUCGUGGAAUGUCUUGAUGAAUGUACAUAUCUGGAAAGUUACUCUAUUCUGCUGGUGCAGGCUGGAAUGCUGUUAUAUCCUGUCAAGUUUUGUUGUGCCUAUGUGCCCAACUCACACUGGGCCUGAAAAUCACAAUGCAUCUUUUUUUACUGUAUAUUACAGUAAAAUUUAACAUUUGAACCGAAAAACUCUGAAGCCAAAGUGGGCAGUGAAAUUGUCUUUAAAUGUUGUGAUGCAAACACACUGUUGCAAAGAAUUGCAUGGAAAUUGUAAUGUUCAUCUUCCUCUACAAAAGUGUACUUAUCAGAACUGAAUGUCGUGUGUGGGUGCAGACCGGGGCAAAUCAUUUGAGCGCCCUUCUCCCACUGUAAUUUCCUUUUGCCCUGGCUGGUCGUUGCCACUCAUGUACCUAUCUCUAUGUAUUUGUUUCUCAUCUCUUAACAUAUGACAUGCAGUCUUGCAUGCUUGAAAAAAGAAGAAAAUAAUUGCAUGGGAGGCCAUCGCCAAAUGAAAGGGUUGAAGCCUAUCAGUUUGUUUUGCUUGAGACGGUUGAAGUUAUCAGGAUUGUAGGCUCUAGUGAAGGGUAUCCAUGGACGAAGACGAGCUGCAGCGAAUUCUUAACUUUCAGGGAUUAUGUGCAUCCAAAGGAUGUGUUGCCUGCUUUUCGUCUGGGUUGGCAUCAGGAUAUUUU